UACGAAGGGGCUAGCGUUGUUCGGAUUUACUGGGCGUAAAGCGCACGUAGGCGGUUUGUUAAGUCAGGGGUGAAAUCCCGGAGCUCAACUCCGGAACUGCCUUUGAUACUGGCAAGCUAGAGUCCGGAAGAGGUAAGUGGAACUCCUAGUGUAGAGGUGGAAUUCGUAGAUAUUAGGAAGAACACCAGUGGCGAAGGCGGCUACUGGUCCGGAACUGACGCUGAGGUGCGAAAGCGUGGGGAGCAAACAGGAUUGAGA
Molecule: ribosomal RNA, 258 nt
Filed under: uncultured bacterium
Lineage: Bacteria
Description: partial 16S ribosomal RNA
Rfam family: Bacterial small subunit ribosomal RNA
Source: RNAcentral